GAAAGUAAGAAAGGGCGUAUGGCGGAUGCCUAGGCUCACGGAGGCGAUGAAGGACGUGAUAAGCUGCGAUAAGCUUCGGGUAGGUGCAAAUAACCCUUGAUCCGGAGAUUUCCGAAUGGGACAACCUAGCCGUCUGAAGGACGGUUACUAGCACUUAAGUGUUAGAGCUAACGCAGGGAACUGAAACAUCUUAGUACCUGCAGGAAGAGAAAAUAAAUGAAUGAUUCCCCCAGUAGUGGCGAGCGAACGGGGAACAGCCCAAACCGUUGACGUCGCAAGGCGCCAGCGGGGUUGUAGGACCGCGACAUUGUAUGCAAAUCGUGAACAGAACACUUUGGAAAAUGUGACCAUAGACGGUGAUAGUCCAGUAUGUGAAGCGAAAUGCAGCAUAGCGGUAUCCUGAGUAACGCGGGACACGAGGAAUCCUGCGCGAAUCUGCCGGGACCAUCCGGUAAGGCUAAAUACUCCCGUGAGACCGAUAGCGAACGAGUACUGUGAAGGAAAGGUGAAAAGAACCCCGAGCAGGGGAGUGAAAUAGUUCCUGAAACCAUACGCCUACAAGCGGUCGGAGCAUCUUACGAUGUGACGGCGUGCCUUUUGCAUAAUGAUCCUACGAGUUACCGUCACUGGCGAGGUUGAGUGUCACGAGACACGUAGCCGCAGUGAAAGCGAGCCUGAACAGGGCGCAUAGUCAGUGGGGGUAGACGCGAAACCAAGUGAUCUACACUUGGCCAGGAUGAAGUCCCGGUAACACGGGAUGGAGGUCCGCACCAAUAAGCGUUGAAAAGCUUCUGGAUGAGCCGAGUGUAGGAGUGAAAGGCCAAUCAAACUUGGAGAUAGCUCGUACUCCCCGAAAGGCAUUUAGGUGCCGCGUCGGAUGGUCACCGUGAGAGGUAGAGCGACCGAUAGGACAAGAGGGCUUCACCGCCUAUCGAGUCCUGACGAACUCCGAAUGCUCACGGUCUGCAGUCCGGCAGUAAGGGGGCGGGUGCUAAGGUCCGUCCCCGAGAGGAGAAGAAUCCAGACCGCCGUCUAAGGUCCCGGAGUUCUGCCUGAGUUAGUCUAACGAAGUCUGGUCCCUAUGACAGCUAGGAUGUUGGCUUGGAAGCAGCCAUUCAUUCAAAGAGUGCGUAACAGCUCACUAGUCGAGGGUCCGGGCAUGGAUAAUAAUCGGGUAUAAGGCAGACACCGAAGGCGCGGGAUAGCAUUUAAGAAAGUAUCGGUAGGGGAGCAUACUCACAGCGUGGAAUGGUGUACGUAAGUUAUCCUGGAGCGGUGAGUAAAGCAAAUGUAGGAAUAAGUAACGAUAAGGAGGGUUAGAUUCCCUCCCGCUGUAAGACCAAGGUUUCCCGGGCAAUGCCAAUCAGCCCGGGGUCAGUCGGGUCCUAAGUCUAAGCCGAACGGCGAUGGCGAUGGCAGAGACGGUUAAUAUUCCGUCACUGCCGCAUGGGGCGACGUGGAGACGGAGCAGUGAAACCACCGCGGGGCGACGGAAGUCCCCGUUGAAGAGUGUAGGUGUUGAGGAUGGCAGGCAAAUCCACCGUCCGAGCUGAACUUGAUAGUAUGGAGUCUUCUUCGGAAGAAUCCAAUAGUGUGGGUAAUCAUACUCCCGAGAAAAUCCGCUAAGCUUAACCCAUGCGGCACCCGUACCGCAAACGGACACACGUGGUCGGGUAGAACAUACUAAGGCGUUGAGAGAUUCAUGGUUAAGGAACUAGGCAAAUUGACCCUGUAACUUCGGGAUAAAGGGUCCUCGUGAUGAGCGAGGCGCAGAGAAUAGGUCCAGGCAACUGUUUAACAAAAACACAGGGCUGUGCAAACUCGAAAGAUGACGUAUACAGCCUGACACCUGCCCGGUGCCGGAAGGUUAAGAGGAGAUGUCACUCGCAAGAGGAAGCAUUGAAUUGAAGCCCCGGUAAACGGCGGCCGUAACUAUAACGGUCCUAAGGUAGCGAAAUUCCUUGUCGGGU
Molecule: ribosomal RNA, 1970 nt
Filed under: human gut metagenome
Description: bacterial LSU rRNA
Rfam family: Bacterial large subunit ribosomal RNA
Source: RNAcentral